UACAGAGGGUGCAAGCGUUAAUCAGAAUUACUGGGCGUAAAGCGUGCGUAGACGGUUACAUAAGUCAGAUGUGAAAGCCCCGGGCUCAACCUGGGAAUUGCAUUUGAGACUGUGUAGCUAGGGUGCGGAAGAGGGAAGCGGAAUUUCCGGUGUAGCGGUGAAAUGCGUAGAUAUCGGAAGGAACACCAGUGGCGAAAGCGGCUUCCUGGUCCAGCACCGACGUUCAGGCACGAAAGCGUGGGGAGCAAACAGG
RNAcentral lists this ribosomal RNA (253 nucleotides) under uncultured bacterium. Its description in RNAcentral is "partial 16S ribosomal RNA". It matches the Rfam family "Bacterial small subunit ribosomal RNA", at positions 524 to 776 of the family's 1533-position model. The record is from RNAcentral.